RNAcentral lists this unclassified non-coding RNA (199 nucleotides) under Glomeraceae sp. RNAcentral describes it as "partial contains 5.8S ribosomal RNA and internal transcribed spacer 2". The stretch from base 1 to 72 matches the Rfam family "5.8S ribosomal RNA", at positions 84 to 154 of the family's 154-position model. Lineage: Eukaryota; Fungi; Glomeromycota; Glomeromycetes; Glomerales; Glomeraceae. The record is from RNAcentral.
GUGAAUCAUCGAAUUUUUGAACGCAAAUUGCACUCUCCGGUUUUCCGGGAGGGUAUGCCUGUUUGAGGGUCAGUCUAAAAAAAAUCGGCAUUGUUGCUGCCUUAUGGUGAGUUUCGUCGGAGAUGGGUUAUCUUAAAUUUCGGUUUAAGCCACUUAAAAAUGUUUUUAUGUUUCUAAGAAUGUUUCAAAGAUUUUUCUU